UUAUUGGAGAGUUUGAUCCUGGCUCAGGACGAACGCUGGCGGCGUGCCUAACACAUGCAAGUCGAACGGAGUAAGCAGCAAUACAUACUUAGUGGCGAACGGGUGAGUAACGCGUAGACAACCUGCCUCUAAAAUGGGGACAACACCGCGAAAGUGGUGCUAAUACCGAAUGUGGUAUCUCGGUUGCAUGACCGAGAUAAGAAAGAUGGCCUCUACAUGUAAGCUAUCGUUUAGAGAUGGGUCUGCGUCUGAUUAGCUAGUUGGUGAGGUAAUAGCUCACCAAGG
RNAcentral lists this non-coding RNA (285 nucleotides) under Sporomusa malonica. RNAcentral's name for it is "Bacterial small subunit ribosomal RNA". It matches the Rfam family "Bacterial small subunit ribosomal RNA", at positions 1 to 273 of the family's 1533-position model. The record is from Rfam by way of RNAcentral. Lineage: Bacteria; Bacillati; Bacillota; Negativicutes; Selenomonadales; Sporomusaceae.